CUCCGGUUGAUCCUGCCGGACCCGACUGCUAUCGGAUUGAGAUUUAGCCAUGCGAGUCGAACGUCCCCCUGUUGCGGGGGGCGUGGCGUACGGCUCAGUAACACGUAGUCAACCUGCCCUGGAGACAAGGACAACCCCGGGAAACUGGGAUUAAUCCUUGAUAGGUCAUCUCAUCUGGAAGGAGAGAUGGCUUAAAGGGGUACGCGGGCUUCUUCCGCGAAUUCGCUCCAGGAUGGGACUGCGUCCGAUCAGGCUGUUGGCGGGGUAAUGGCCCACCAAACCUGUAACCGGUACGGGCCUUGAGAGAGGUGGCCCGGAGAUGGACACUGAGAGAAGGGUCCAGGUCCUACGGGGCGCAGCAGGCGCGAAACCUUCGCAAUGCGCGAAAGCGUGACGAGGUUAAUCCGAGUGAUUUCCGCUGAGGAGAUCUUUUGUCAGCUGUAAAUAGGCAGGCGAAUAAGGGGAGGGCAAGCCUGGUGUCAGCCGCCGCGGUAAUACCAGCUCCUCGAGUGGUCGGGGCGAUUAUUGGGCCUAAAGCAUCCGUAGCCGGUUCCGUAGGUCCUCUGUUAAAUCCAACCGCUUAACGGUUGACCUGCAGAGGAUACCGCGGGACUAGGAGGCGGGAGAGGCGGACGGUAUUCCGCGUGUAGGGGUAAAAUCCUUUGAUUCGCGGAGGACCACCAGUGGCGAAGGCGGUCCGCCAGAACGCGCUCGACGGUGAGGGAUGAAAGCUGGGGGAGCGAACCGGAUUAGAUACCCGGGUAGUCCCAGCCGUAAACGAUGCUAGCUAGAUGAUUCAUUCGCAAGUCGCGAAUGAAGUGUCGCAGGGAAGCCGUUAAGCUAGCCGCCUGGGGAGUACGGUCGCAAGACUGAAACUUAAAGGAAUUGGCGGGGGAGCA
This 899-nucleotide ribosomal RNA is filed under the name uncultured archaeon. RNAcentral's name for it is "bacterial SSU rRNA". It matches the Rfam family "Archaeal small subunit ribosomal RNA", at positions 1 to 878 of the family's 1478-position model. The record is from RNAcentral.